RNAcentral lists this unclassified non-coding RNA (376 nucleotides) under Melitaea cinxia (Glanville fritillary). RNAcentral describes it as "misc RNA ENSMCXG00005001590.1". Lineage: Eukaryota; Metazoa; Arthropoda; Insecta; Lepidoptera; Nymphalidae. The record is from RNAcentral.
AGUUUAGCGUCGACAGUCGUUGAGUGCGGACGUAUCACGGGCAGUGUCUGUUACUCCGAUAAGGAAUACGUGAAUAUAAUAUUAAUUAAUUCGUAAUAGACAACACUUUAGAUAUUUCAGUUCAUGUAAAAUGUAUGUGGUGUGGGGUUUGUGUGGCUUUGUAGUUUGGAGGAUGUGAUCUUGAGUCGAAAAUUAAAAAGGAUGUUAUCUAGUAUCACAAUGGAAUCGUGAAGAUGUCAUCAGAGACGACAACAAAGAAAAGCAAAUUUGUGAAAAAAAAAUGUUGAUUAUAAAAAAGAUAUUGAAAGAAAACCUUUAGAUAAAUUGUAAAGAUUGAUUUAUUCUAAAAAUAAAAGUAAAAAAAAAAACAACAAUA